AAUGACUCGGCUGUUUACUGUCAAACUGACCCUGGAGGGAAAGUCUUCGGAUCAGUGGUCAGAACUGGCCACAUCCGUUACCGAGAGGGAUACAGGAAAUAAACCUAUGAAAUGAAGAAGAACGUACAGUAGAUUGAACAGAGAUAUGGCAAGGAGAUCAACUCACUAAUGGCCUAUCCCGGAAGUAAGCGAGCAGGCAUCGCAUGACAGCCUGGUGGCAGAUGACCAGCACGUUGCCUUGUCUCUCCAGCUCCAUGAUGACCGGCUCUAACCUCUGCACUAGGUCCUGGUAGGACUAUGGAGAGGGGAGGGACAAACUGAGCUCAAUGACUCAGAUUAAUAGGCCAGAUAGAUCUCUGUAGAGAAGAAAGGAAGAAUUACCUCUCCCCCUGGGUAGCGGUAGUGGUACUUGUCCUGGUCUCUCAAGGAAAACUCCUCAGGGUCCAAAAACACAGAGGGGAGGAGGAGCACUCACUUCCUGAUUUCCAUGGCCUCCUCGUUGUCAUGUCUGAAGAAGUCAUAGGAUUUGUAGGCUUUUACAGCCUCUCGUCUGUAGACUCCAAGGUUGAACACUGCAACACAAUACAGGACCAUCAUCAUAAGCCUCAG
Molecule: long non-coding RNA, 609 nt
Organism: Salmo salar (Atlantic salmon)
Lineage: Eukaryota; Metazoa; Chordata; Actinopteri; Salmoniformes; Salmonidae
Source: RefSeq, a predicted model, not a curated record